UACGUAGGUGGCAAGCGUUAUCCGGAUUUACUGGGUGUAAAGGGCGUGUAGGCGGUCUUGCAAGUCGGAAGUGAAAUUCCCGGGCUUAACCCGGGCGCUGCUCCCGAAACUGCGAGACUUGAGUACUGGAGAGGAUAGUGGAAUUCCUAGUGUAGCGGUAAAAUGCGUAGAUAUUAGGAGGAACACCAGUGGCGAAGGCGGCUAUCUGGACAGUAACUGACGCUGAGGCGCGAAAGCGUGGGGAGCAAACAGG
Molecule: ribosomal RNA, 253 nt
Filed under: uncultured bacterium
Lineage: Bacteria
Description: partial 16S ribosomal RNA
Rfam family: Bacterial small subunit ribosomal RNA
Source: RNAcentral